RNAcentral lists this ribosomal RNA (482 nucleotides) under uncultured bacterium. RNAcentral's name for it is "partial 16S ribosomal RNA". It matches the Rfam family "Bacterial small subunit ribosomal RNA", at positions 30 to 507 of the family's 1533-position model. The record is from RNAcentral.
AUUGAACGCUGGCGGCAUGCUUUACACAUGCAAGUCGAACGGCAGCGCGGGGCAACCUGGCGGCGAGUGGCGAACGGGUGAGUAAUAUAUCGGAACGUACCCAGAAGUGGGGGAUAACGUAGCGAAAGUUACGCUAAUACCGCAUACAAUCUACGGAUGAAAGUAGGGGACCGCAAGGCCUUAUGCUUUUGGAGCGGCCGAUAUCUGAUUAGCUAGUUGGUGAGGUAAAGGCUCACCAAGGCGACGAUCAGUAGCUGGUCUGAGAGGACGACCAGCCACACUGGAACUGAGACACGGUCCUGACUCCUACGGGAGGCAGCAGUGGGGAAUUUUGGACAAUGGGCGCAAGCCUGAUCCAGCAAUGCCGCGUGAGUGAAGAAGGCCUUCGGGUUGUAAAGCUCUUUUGUCAGGGAAGAAACGGUAGAGGCUAAUAUCCUUUGCUAAUGACGGUACCUGAAGAAUAAGCACCGGCUAACUACGUG